RNAcentral lists this ribosomal RNA (474 nucleotides) under uncultured bacterium. RNAcentral describes it as "bacterial SSU rRNA". It matches the Rfam family "Bacterial small subunit ribosomal RNA", at positions 335 to 792 of the family's 1533-position model. The record is from RNAcentral.
ACUCCUACGGGAGGCGAGCAGUAGGGAAGUUUACCGUCAAUAGGACGAAAGUACUGACGGAGCAAUGCCGCGUGAGUGAUGAAGGUUUCGUAAUCGUAAAGACUCUGUUGUAAGGGAAGGAAUAGCAAGGAUAGGAAAUAGAUCCUUGUCUGACGGUACCUUACCAGAAAGACCACGGCUAACUACGUGCCAGCAGCCGCGGUAAUACGUAGGUGGCAAGCGUUAUCCGGAAUUAUUGGGCGUGAAGCGCAUGUAGGCGGCUUUUUAAGUCUGGUGUGAAAGCCUGUGGCUCAACCACAGAAUUGCAUUGGAUACUGGAAAGCUAGAAUCUUGGAGAGGUAAGUGGAAUUUCAUGUGUAGCGGUGGAAUGCGUAGAUAUAUGAAGGAACACCAAUGGCGAAGGCAGCUUACUGGACAAGUAUUGACGCUGAGAUGCGAAAGUGUGGGUAGCAAACAGGAUUAGAUACCCUGGUA